ACUACGGGAGGCAGCAGUGAGGAAUAUUGGUCAAUGGGCGGAAGCCUGAACCAGCCAAGUAGCGUGCAGGAUGACGGCCCUACGGGUUGUAAACUGCUUUUAUACGGGAAUAACGCGCCUUACGUGGAGGGCUUUGCAUGUACCGUAUGAAUAAGGACCGGCUAAUUCCGUGCCAGCAGCCGCGGUCAUACGGAAGGUCCGGGCGUUAUCCGGUUUUAUUGGGUUUAAAGGGAGCGUAGGCCGCAUGUCAAGCGUGCUGUGAAAUGUCCGGGCUCAACCCGGGCCUUGCAGCGCGAACUGGCGUGCUUGAGUCCGCGGAAAGCAGGCGGAAUUCGUCGUGUAGCGGUGAAAUGCUUAGAUAUGACGAAGAACCCCGAGUGCGAAGGCAGCUUGCUGCAGCGGAACUGACGCUGAUGCUCGAAAGCGCGGGUAUCGAACAGGAUUAGAUACCCCAGUAGUC
This 460-nucleotide ribosomal RNA is filed under the name uncultured bacterium. Its description in RNAcentral is "partial 16S ribosomal RNA". It matches the Rfam family "Bacterial small subunit ribosomal RNA", at positions 338 to 795 of the family's 1533-position model. The record is from RNAcentral.